This 1219-nucleotide small RNA is filed under the name Pongo abelii (Sumatran orangutan). RNAcentral describes it as "retained intron". Lineage: Eukaryota; Metazoa; Chordata; Mammalia; Primates; Hominidae. The record is from RNAcentral.
AAGGAUGAAGAGGAGGAGACAUCACCCAAAUGUGAAUUUUGUGGCAGCGAUCUAAGAGCAUUUUUUUCUAAUGUGGAUGUUUCCUCUGAACCAAAAGGGCAUGCCUCCUGUUGUAUUGCUUUCCAAAAUCUGAUUGACUAUAUCUAUGAGGAGCAAAUAAAAACCAAACCCCCUAAAACUGAAUUAAUUGCUAUUGACCCUCAUGCAGCCCAUGGCAGUGAGGUCGACAGACUCAAGGCAAAAGAAAAAGCCCUGCAAAGGAAACAGGAGGAACGAAUGGCCAGACAUUUUGCGAUCAUAUCAAGGGAACAGGCUCAUUUCUCUGAAGAUGAGUCAAAGCGCUUAAAAACAAUUUCUUAUCAACUUUCUGUGGAUAUUCCAGAAAAACAGACAAUUGAUGACAUCGUAUUUGAUUUUCAACUAAGAAAUAGUAACAUGUCCAUCAUUUGUUGUGAUUCUCGGAUAGCGUGUGGAAAGGUUGUCAGGAAUGAGCUCUUAGAGAAGCACUACAAACAUGGGAGCAAGUUUCUGACUUCAUUUCCAGAUGGGACAACACAAAUAUUCUAUCCAUCUGGAAACCUAGCCAUUAUUCGAGUGCCCAACAAGGUAAAUGGUUUCACUUGUAUUGUCCAAGAAGAUAUGCCCACUAACCCUGCUAUCCUAGCAGUGCUGGAUUCCUCUGGCAGAAGUUCCUGCUAUCAUCCCAAUGGAAAUGUCUGGGUAUACAUCAAUAUCUUGGGAGGUCAAUAUUCAGAUCAAGCCGGCAACAGAAUAAGGGCUUGGAAUUGGUCAAGUUCCAUCACUUCCUCACCCUUUGUUUCAUUUAAACCUGUCUUUCUGGCUUUGAACCGUUAUAUUGGAGUCCGCAUCUUAGAACAAGACAAGAUUUCUAUAACUUUUCUAGCAAUGGGCCAACAGGCAAGAAUCAGUGUUGGAACCAAAGUGAAGCUACCAAACCCUGAGGAGAUUCCAAUCCUCCGAUACGUGAGUGGAGAUGACCUUCUUCUGCUGGCCAGUUUAAUAAAGAUCCGUCGCCUGUUUCAUAAACUUGAAGGAUGUGUGAAUUUUCCCUCAAGCCAGGUUUGGGAAAAAUUAAAGCAACCUUCCUACCUUUCUUCACUUUCUCUAAAACUAAUUGCCCUCUGUCACAGUUCUGGUAUAAAGCAAGAUAUAAUGAAGACAAUAAAAAAUAUAAUAAAUGAAGAAAUUUAACUAAGAA